This 466-nucleotide ribosomal RNA is filed under the name uncultured bacterium. RNAcentral describes it as "partial 16S ribosomal RNA". It matches the Rfam family "Bacterial small subunit ribosomal RNA", at positions 28 to 507 of the family's 1533-position model. The record is from RNAcentral.
GACGAACGCUGGCGGCGCGCCUAACACAUGCAGGUCGAACGAGCGAGAGAGAGCUUGCUUUCUCGAGCGAGUGGCGAACGGGUGAGUAACGCGUGAGGAACCUGCCUCAAAGAGGGGGACAACAGUUGGAAACGACUGCUAAUACCGCAUAAGCCCACGGUGCCGCAUGGCACAGAGGGAAAAGGAGCAAUCCGCUUUGAGAUGGCCUCGCGUCCGAUUAGCUAGUUGGUGAGGUAAUGGCCCACCAAGGCGACGAUCGGUAGCCGGACUGAGAGGUUGAACGGCCACAUUGGGACUGAGACACGGCCCAGACGCCUACGGGAGGCAGCAGUGGGGAAUAUUGCACAAUGGGGGAAACCCUGAUGCAGCGACGCCGCGUGGAGGAAGAAGGUCUUCGGAUUGUAAACUCCUGUUGUUGGGGAAGAUAAUGACGGUACCCAACAAGGAAGUGACGGCUAACUACGUA